Molecule: ribosomal RNA, 752 nt
Filed under: uncultured bacterium
Lineage: Bacteria
Description: bacterial SSU rRNA
Rfam family: Bacterial small subunit ribosomal RNA
Source: RNAcentral
AGAGUUUGAUCAUGGCUCAGAUUGAACGCUGGCGGCAGGCUUAACACAUGCAAGUCGAGCGGUAACAGGGGGAGCUUGCUUCCCGCUGACGAGCGGCGGACGGGUGAGUAAUGCUUAGGAAUCUGCCCAGUAGUGGGGGAUAGCCCGGGGAAACCCGGAUUAAUACCGCAUACGUCCUACGGGAGAAAGCAGGGGAUCUUCGGACCUUGCGCUAUUGGAUGAGCCUAAGUCGGAUUAGCUAGUUGGUGGGGUAAAGGCCUACCAAGGCGACGAUCCGUAGCUGGUCUGAGAGGAUGAUCAGCCACAUCGGGACUGAGACACGGCCCGAACUCCUACGGGAGGCAGCAGUGGGGAAUAUUGGACAAUGGGGGCAACCCUGAUCCAGCCAUGCCGCGUGUGUGAAGAAGGCUUUCGGGUUGUAAAGCACUUUCAGUAGGGAGGAAAACCUUAUGGCUAAUACCCAUGAGGCUUGACGUUACCUACAGAAGAAGCACCGGCUAACUCCGUGCCAGCAGCCGCGGUAAUACGGAGGGUGCAAGCGUUAAUCGGAAUUACUGGGCGUAAAGCGCGCGUAGGUGGUUUGGUAAGCGAGAUGUGAAAGCCCCGGGCUUAACCUGGGAACGGCAUUUCGAACUGUCAGACUAGAGUGUGGUAGAGGGUAGUGGAAUUUCCUGUGUAGCGGUGAAAUGCGUAGAUAUAGGAAGGAACACCAGUGGCGAAGGCGGCUACCUGGACCAACACUGACACUGAGG